UGGGGAAUAUUGGACAAUGGGCGAAAGCCUGAUCCAGCCAUGCCGCGUGUGUGAAGAAGGUCUUCGGAUUGUAAAGCACUUUAAGUUGGGAGGAAGGGCAGUAACCUAAUACGUUGCUGUCUUGACGUUACCGACAGAAUAAGCACCGGCUAACUCUGUGCCAGCAGCCGCGGUAAUACAGAGGGUGCAAGCGUUAAUCGGAAUUACUGGGCGUAAAGCGCGCGUAGGUGGUUUGUUAAGUUGGAUGUGAAAUCCCCGGGCUCAACCUGGGAACUGCAUUCAAAACUGACAAGCUAGAGUAUGGUAGAGGGUGGUGGAAUUUCCUGUGUAGCGGUGAAAUGCGUAGAUAUAGGAAGGAACACCAGCGGCGAAGGCGACCACCUGGACUGAUACUGACACUGAGGUGCGAAAGCGUGGGGAGCAAACAGGAUUAGAUACCCCUGUAGUCCCUGAGCGGGCUGGCAAGGCGCAU
Molecule: ribosomal RNA, 472 nt
Filed under: uncultured bacterium
Lineage: Bacteria
Description: bacterial SSU rRNA
Rfam family: Bacterial small subunit ribosomal RNA
Source: RNAcentral